AAGAAGCUGCUUUUGUGAAAAAGUUCAUUCCAAUCUUCUUUUGUUAGUUUAUUUCCUCAAAAUGGGUAAACUAAGAUUGGCGACGAUGCAAUAAACUUAUCUUUACAAUCUCAGGAUCAAAUGCAAUAAACUUACUUUUACAGACAAUACAAAAUAAUCACUUAUAGAAACCAUAUAAAAUAUAAUUUGUAACUAUAAUAGGAAUAGAGAUGGACCUUAGAAGGAGUAGGUGAGUCCAUGAACAAAUAAGAAACCAGUACAGGAUCACGAUGAAACGGAAUCUCGUCGGACGACACUCUAACCUCGACGGAACUGAACAGACCCAACGAACAGAGCUAGCGACCUAUGAACGGGCUUUAAAGGGACUCGAUCUCAACAGAAAUGUUACACUAAAUGGAACAACGAACUUGAAACUCAGUCGACAACAUCAAACGAACUCUCCACGAGCUUUAAAUGAACUCCAUUGACGAAACAAAAUUUUGUCGCCGGUUUCCGGCCAUCUCCGGUGGUGAAGGAGCAGCAACCGGUCUGCUGUGAGGUGAAGAAGAAGGAACGGUGACGAGGGGUGUGUUGGUGAAGGUUUUGCCGCUGGCGUGAGGUCGGAUCGUUCGGUUGCUUCUUCUCCUUUAAUCUCUAUGUGUUUUUGUUAAUGAAGAUGGUGAAGAAGCAGAACGGAUGGGAGGGUAUGACUCUUGGCUGAAGAGAGAUUCCUUUGGUCUCUAGUGUUGAAAUGGACGAUAUGGAGAUGGAGUUUUGCUAGGGUUUUGUUUGUGAAGAAGGAGAUGAACUGGUGGGGGGGUCUCGUUUUGUGUAUUGCGGCGGAUCUCUUAGGCGUUAGGAAAUUAGCUCCUCAUUUUUUUUGUCCAAAACGGUUGUCCGCCCCUAGAGUGUAUAGGUUUAGGUUAGUUUUGUAGGUUUUUUAGGUUAAGGGGUAUGAACCUAGGAAUUAUGGGCUAGGGACGAAAAUUAGGCUUAAAAUGGGUUGUUUGAGCCCAAAUUUUAUUCUUUCUCUAUGUACAAGACUAAAAAUACGAACUCAUUUGCCAAUUAAUCCUACUUAAGUAAAAUAACUAUUAAGAUAAAACUAAUCGUUAAAACAAACAUAUUUUUUUUUGGUAUUUUCAAAUAUCAUAUUAAAAUAAAAUAAGGUACUAUUUUUUAGUUUUACGAAAGGUAUAUAAAGUAAAAGCAACUAAAAAGAAGAAAUAUUUUUUGUAAUUUUUAUUUUUUUGAUAAAACAAAGUGAAAGAACCAAAACUAAUUGAAAUAUCGAUAUUAAGCAUAAACUAAAUAUUUUACGCCAAAAUGGGUGAAAUCUCGGGGAGGGUCAAAAAUCACAUGUCUACAGCUGCUCCUCUUUGAUUGGAAAUGCGAAGAGUUUUCAGACAAAGAACGACUAUAUAGGUUUUUUUUACCCGACCCUUAUUUAAGGAGACCAAAAACUAAGAGAAAGGAGAGUGUGACUGAGUCCUGGUAUCUGAGUUGCCUACAUAUCCUUGGCUAUCAAGAAAUCAGGCCACGUAUAGUUCAGAAGUAGAAAUAGUGAUGGCGUAUACUGAGGUGGAGAGCCGGUCGAGGUGUCGUUCUGUCGAGGUUCCGGUCUGCGGUCCUGUUGUUACAUCACAAUCAAAAAAUGAAAAAGACUAACUAAGUUUGUCAACUAUGAGUUACAAGAUUCCUAUUUAUAAGUCUUCUGAAGCAUGAACUUGAGUCUUGAAUGGUUCUUCAUGCAGACUUUGGAUUUGAACCUUGAUUCUUGCUAGUUGCAGGUGCUAGUUCAUUCUUCUUCAGCUUUUCGGAUCAAAACCGGACAUACCAUGCUUGUGACUUCAGUCAUAUCUUGAGCAGCUCACAUCUUUCAUCAACUUCUGCAUUUGGAUUCACUUCUUGCGUUUUUUUAUUCUGGACUGUGACUAACUUCCGUUGAUUAUCUCGGACUUUUGACUCGCAUUCUUGCCGCGAGCUUCUUUUGUUGUUGACUUGAAUUGCAUUCUGAAGUGAAUUCCCUUGUUUUUCAAGUGGGUGCCUGAUUGCCAAAACUUGAACUGUCUUCCUUCCAAACUUGAAUUGUCUUCCCUUGUUCUCCAGGUGGGCGCCUGAUUGCUGAACUUGAACUGUCCUCCUUCGAAACUGCUUUCCCUUCAAACUUGAAUUGUCUUCCCUUGUUCUCCAGGUGGGCGCCUGAUUGCUGAAACUUUUUGUGUUCCCUUAUUUUCCAUAUGGGUGUCUGCAAUCAAAACAAACAACACAAAUGAAAUUUUCUGUCCCAGUUUGCACUAGGAAGAUUUGUGAGUUGUUAGCAAAACUGUAAACCACUUGUGCUAUUGAUGCAAUGAUGAGAGUAAACUAAAGACUCGACUAGGAUAUGCAUCUCCUGUGAGUAAAACCAAGAAACUUUUACCAGCAAAUGCGUCUGCUAAAAAUAAAAACUAAAUGACCCAGAUCAGGAAAUGCGUGUCCUAAGGGUGAAACUUGAAUGAACCAAACUAGGAAGUGCGUCUCAUAUACAUUGAAUUUAAAUGACCAAAGCUAGGAAGUGCGUCUCCUAGGGGUAAACUCUCAAUUUAAGAAGUGCGUCUCAUAAAACAUAAUAUAACUUGAAAGACCCAGACUAGGAAGUGCGUCUCCUAAAACAAACAUAUAACCUGAAAACCCAGACUAGGAAGUGCGUCUCCUAUGGGUGAAACUUCAAUGACUCAAACUAGGAAGUGUGUCUCCUAUGAAUGAACUCUCAAUUUAGGAAGUGCGUCUCCUAAAAGUAUAUCCUGAAAGAUCCAGACUAGAAAGUGCAUCUCCUAGGGCUGAAACUUCAAUGACUCAAACUAGGAAGUGCGUCUCCUACGAAUGAACUUUCAAUUUAGGAAGUGCAUCUCCUAUGGGUGAAACUUCAUUGACUCAAACUAGGAAGUGCGUCUCAUACGAAUGAACUCUCAAUUUAGGAAAUACAUCUCCUAAAAGAAUAACUUGAAAGACCUUGAUUAGAAAGUGUGUCUCCUAUGAAUGAACUCUCAAUUUAGGAAGUGCGUCUCCUAAAAGUAUAUCCUGAAAGACCCAGACUAGGAAGUGCAUCUCCUAGGGGUGAAAUCUCAAUGACUCAAACUAGUAAGUGCGUCUCCUACGAAUGAACUCUCAAUUUAGGAAGUGCUUCUCCUAUGGGUGAAACUUCAAUGACUCAAACUAGGAAAUACGUCUCCUACGAAUGAACUCUCAAUUUAGGAAGUGCGUCUUCUAUAGGUGAAACUUCAUUGACUCCAAUUAGGACGUGCGUCUCCUAGGGGUGAAUUUUAAAUGACCAAGACUAGGAAGUGCGUCUCCUAGGGGUGGAAUCUCGAUUUAGGAAGUGCAUCUCCUACAACAAAAUAUAACUUGAAAACCCAAACUAGGCAGUGUUUCUCCUAGGGGUGAUGUGUGAUCUUCCCAAUAGCCUUUGCGUAAGCAGAAUUGGGGCAUUACACCUGAAAAAUUCAAACUUCCAAUCUUUGAUAUGAACAUAACUUUCGUCCCUGUUUCAGAAAAAGAAACCUUGUGAGUUUAAACAUGGUAGUUGGAUUUGUGGCCUUGACUUUGAGGGGAAUUACUCCUUCACUUGCCAUGAUAACUUUGAUUUCAACACGAAAGACAUUGCUUGUGUAUUGACCAACCACUUUCUCUGUCACCCUUAUCACAGAAGAUACCUCUGAUUCAUUUAAACCCAAACCCCCUAUAUGUUGCAUUGUGCUCAUUAAUUGACAUAUACCGAACCUUUGUAUUUCACAUGAAUCCCAAAGCACGUUGAUUGUUACCAACUCAGUGCGCUUGCUGUUCUUUCCUAACGUAUGCCACUGGCCUUGGCCUUGAGGUCUAUUGCUCCUUCACUUGCCAUGAUAACUUUGAUUUCUACUUGGAAGACCUUGCUUGUUAUUGGUUAACCACUUUCUCUGUCAACCUUAUCACAAAAAAUACCUCUGAUCCGUUCAAACCCAACAUCCUCUAUUUGUUGCAUUUUGCUCAUGAAUUGACAUUUACCGAACCUUUGUAUUUCAUAUGAAUCCCAAAACACGUUGAUUGUUACCAACUCAGUGUGCAUACUGUUCUUUCUUGACUUAUGUUGCUUUGAUGUGCUAACCAGAUUCCGUUUUGCGCAAUCGAAAAACUGGUAGCAAAUUUUGAAGUCAUUUGUCACUUGUUCUAACCAAACAGACUCAGGAAGAGGAAGUAAACAAAACAAAAGGACCAGAGUAAGGGACAAUGGAAAGAGAUGAUACCUAACGAGAAAAUUACGAAGUAGAAACUUAUGAGAUGUGGAUACCAACUUUAAUGACCAUGACAUGCACCUUUGGAUUAAGUGGCCUAAUCUGUCAAGUAAAUCUACUGUUAAACUCUUGUUGUACCUCUUUGCCAUGAAACUGAGCUUCAAUGCUCCGAUUAUCCUAUCUGAUUUACGAUCCUUAUUCGACUUGUAGUACCCGAAGGGUUUUCACCAUCAAGCCUCUCUCAUUUUGUUCUUUCUCUCAACUCACUGUCGCCUUAUGGUGCCUGUGAAGGUUUUCACCAAUAAGACUCUUUCAUUUUGUUCUUUUUCUUCUUAUUUCCUCUGAUUUUGCAGAUGACAAGGCCUUAACCAUGGUAAAAAUAUCAUAUGCUCUUGGCAUGGCUAACUCAGCACUCUCAAAGAUUAUCUGGGAGGUCUUUUUUGAACUGUAAUGUGGCUUUUGGACAGGGUUAGAAAGAAAGGAUAUCAUAGAGGCUCAAAACAACUAAGAUAACAGGGUUAAUUUAUUUACAACUUUUGGAAUCCAUUUUAAACUUUGCCCCAAUUUCUAAAACAAGAGAAUUUGAUUUUCUUUUUUUUUCUUUUCUUUUUCUUUUUUGAGAUGGUCUUUCUACGAAAGACUGCCCCACUCUUGGGUUUGUGGGAUUAUGGAAUUUUUUAUUUGGUAUGACCGAACCGUAAGACUGCCUACGUAUCUUGUGGUGACAAGAAUCAGGUCAAACGUAGUUCACAAGACUACUUUUUUUUGUUGCUAUUCUUCUUUUUUUCUUCUCUUUUUUUUCUUCUUUUUCUUUUUCUAUUUUCUCUUUUGAUUUUUCUUUUAGAAUGAACUUUCUAAAAUAAACCUAUGGGGACAUGGAUUUUUUUCUUUUCUUUUUAUGAAUCUGACUUGAUUCCAAAAGAGGGGAGGUCAAGAAAAUUAGCACAGGCUCACAAAGGGGUAACGAAUGGUAUAAAGUGUUUGGGCAGCUGAAAGAGGGCCUCCUAAUCCCUGAAAAUGCCAAGUAUAACACAUGCGACUUGAAAAAUGAAAAAGAAAAAUCAUGCACAACAUUUCUUUUGCAGCUUCGACAUUGAUAUCACUGAUAUUCCUUCCAUUUUCUUUAGUGCCUUGUCAAGUACAGAGCUCUCGUUGGGUAAUUUCUUCUUCACAAUGAAUGCCCUCCAUCUGUUUGGAGAAAACUCCCUUAGCUUUAUCUCGUAACUUGAGAUGCACUUGAACUCAAAGUUGCUCACUUCACGUUGUUGGGACGCACUCUCUUGUAAUAAAUUCCUGUCAUCCUCUCAACUUUCCAAACCAUCUGCCCUAGUUUCACACAAUUCGGGCUUUAAAUGGUCUCGAAAUAUCCAAUCUUUACUUAUUUCCCUCAAAUAUCCUUGUCAUCUUCAAAAUUAUUUCAUUGUUUCAUGAUUAAACUAACUUUUAAGACUAGACUGAGAAUUACGCGUGCAUGUCAUGUCACUAGAGUCAGCAGGAAAAGAACUAUAAAAGGAAAAGAGAACUAAACAAACAUUGACUAGAAAUAACAGAAAAUAGGAAAUUGCAUUAGACAGAUGGUGAAAGGGUUCGAACAACAAAACAAGUAAAAUAAACUAGGGUUACAACCCUGAACAAACCUAGAUAACACUAAACGGAUUACUACGACUAAACGAACCAGACAAAAUAAAAGGAUAGAAGGGUUUGAGGCACAAGACAAUAUCCGGAUUACAACCCUGAAAUAAGUCGGACAACAGAAAUGACAACAAAAUGAACAACCAAGACUCCUCCCUAGCUAGCCAAGAAAGGAACGUCUUUCCAGUUACCAAGUUCGACAUCUUAGCCACUGAGUUUCGCAUCAACAUUACUAGAACCUUCACACGUCUCCAUCACAUUGACCUUAGUAAAUUACUUUUGGGUCCUUUUUGCCAACUCAUUCUUAAGAUCAACUUUUGGAACCGAGACUGAUAGCGCUGAAAACUUUGCAGGUGGCCUUCCAAGGAACUCAGAAGAGUUUUCAUAUUCAUUUUCAACACAAAUCAUGCCCACCUCAUGCGUCUCAUUAUGAACAGGCAAUGGACUUUGGCUAGUAUCCGCUGCAUUUGGAUUUUGUACGGUAAUGUCACCUGCAUCGACAAGUUUCUAGACUGCUCUUUUCAGACUCCAACACUUUUCUAUGUUGUGCCCUGGGGCAUUAGAGCAAUAUGCGCACCUUUGAGAAUAAUCAAAAUUCUUUGGAAGAGGGUUCGACAUUUUUAUCUGAAUCGGCUUCAACAUAUCCAAUUGCCUCAAUCUUUGGAAUAGACUGGCAUAUGAUUCUCCAAUAGGAGUGAAAGACUUUUCUCUUUUUUGCUGCCUUGUCAUUUUGGACUCCGGCCUUGGUUGGAACCUUUUGCGGGUAGGUGGUUGAUAUGCUUGAGGAGUCGGGUAAGAUAUUUGCAGAAAUGGUGCAGGCCAUCGCGGGUCUAGUGGGUAUGGAGCAUAUGACGGUGCAUUGUAGAUAGAGUACUGGGAAGGUGAGGUAUGACCUUGGGGAUUUUGUGGAGAAAAAUAGCAUUGGGGAGGAUUAUCUGGAGCACAGGGAUAUCCAUGGAGUCGAUAUUGAGGCUGAAAGCGUUGAGCAGGAAUGCCCACUGGAUCUUGUCAUUGGCGGGGCUCAGCAACAUUCUUUUCUAUCAAUAGGAGGACUAUCCCAGGCCACUUGUUCAUUCCAUCUGAACCAAAACUCCCUACAAUAUUCCUUGGGUUUUUUUUCCAUCUGAGAUAGGGAGGAACGAUCUGGGGUAAUGUCUAGAUUGUACUGAAAGUGUCGAACAAAAUCUUGAGCCAUGUCAUCACAUGCAUGCCACUUAUUAACAUCUUGACGAGUAUACCAUUCCAAAGCUGCCCCAGUCAAGCUCUCACUGAAAUACGCCAUCAACAAAUCAUCUUUCCCGCCAACACAUCUCAUUUCACUGCAGUAACCUCUCAGAUGGGCUACUGGAUCUCCACGUCCAUCAUAUAAAUUAAGCUUUGGCAUUUUAGACCCUUUCAGCUUUCUGGAUAGCUCAUCUUUCUCCACUGUCUUAGUAGGCUUUGCAGUCUCACCAGGAGGCUCAAAAUGAGGAGCGUAAGAGUACGGACCAAAGGCCUUGAAAAUUGGUUCUGGAGCAUAGUGUUGGAUAUCGAGGACUUUGAACACAGUCUCGCUAGAGGAUCGAGGAAGAGUAGCUAGAGGAGGGGCUACAAGAGCAUGAGUGGCCAAAGGGGCGGGAUAUGAGGUGGUUUUGGGGGGUAGAGUGUGAAAAUGUUGUGGGGAGAUAUCAGCAGCAGUGAGAAUCUGGAUUUGUGAUAGUGGUGGGAUAGUUAUCGGGUUUUCAAUGUAGUUAGUGGGAAAUGAAGGUGGAGGAUGCCCCCUGAUCCAAGACUGAUACAUUUAUGUCAUCUGUUGUUUCAACAUUUGGACCUCCCCUUUCAACUCAGAUUCUAAUUCAACAAUUCCCUUAGACGGAUCAAUAACCCCUGUGUCCAAGUUUUUGCUAGCCAUGACUACCUUGCUCUUUAACCUUGUGUUGUAUGGAAAAGUUACCAGUUUAAAAACCACAAACCAACAACCAUUCUGCUAUAAUGAGGAUAACAAAGAGGAACAAAAUGAAGUCAUCAUGUUAGUGUUAGGGCAUUUAACACCUAAAAAUAUCACAUUACGUGCAAUGCACCUAACAACAAUUAAUGGUUCAAGAAUGACUUCGAGGGUCACAAGGUCACUUGGCAUCAUCCCAAUUUGUCCAUUUGAAUCUUCUCUUUUCUUUUCUAACACUUCUUGGCUUGCUCAUUUUCCUUCCUCUUCUCUUUACUUUUUUAAUCAUCAUUCUUUUCUUUCUCUCAUUUCUCACAUCCCAUAAUUUCGCCUCUCUUUUUUUCUUUUUUUCCUUUUCUUUUAAUAGAAAAAAAAUNNNNNNNNNNNNNNNNNNNNNNNNNNNNNNNNNNNNNNNNNNNNNNNNNNNNNNNNNNNNNNNNNNNNNNNNNNNNNNNNNNNNNNNNNNNNNNNNNNNNNNNNNNNNNNNNNNNNNNNNNNNNNNNNNNNNNNNNNNNNNNNNNNNNNNNNNNNNNNNNNNNNNNNNNNNNNNNNNNNNNNNNNNNNNNNNNNNNNNNNNNNNNNNNNNNNNNNNNNNNNNNNNNNNNNNNNNNNNNNNNNNNNNNNNNNNNNNNNNNNNNNNNNNNNNNNNNNNNNNNNNNNNNNNNNNNNNNNNNNNNNNNNNNNNNNNNNNNNNNNNNNNNNNNNNNNNNNNNNNNNNNNNNNNNNNNNNNNGUCGCAUGAAUCAGAGUAGUUCGGAAGAUCGAGAAUAAAGUAACCAAACUAACGUUCUCUUUUUCUUUUUUUUUCCUUUUUUUUCCUUUUUACCUUAAUGACUACUCCGAUGAGAAAAGAGAAAUAAGAGACUCAAAUCUUUUUUUUUUGAAUUUUCUAGACUUAAUGUUCUAUAACGUAUUCUAAACUCAAACUUAACAAGCAUAUAUUUGUUUUCCUUUUUUUUUUCUUUUUGAAACAAAUACUCUAUGGGAAAUUAUUAAGGAAACAAUCCUAGAAGAGAAAAAUAUUUUUUGAUUUUUUUUAGGAAGGAAAUCUAAAGAAUAAACCAAAGAAAAUAUCUUAAAUUUUCAUUUGAUAUCCCUGAAGAAAGAUUUUGAAACGAGAAAUGAACAAGAUAAAAAAUGUUUUUGGAUUUCAGUUUGAUUACCUAAGGGAGAAACUUUAAAGAUAAACAAAAGAUAAAGUAUGUUGUUUUUCUUCUUCUAUGUACAAUAUACUAAAGUUCUAAUGAACAUAAUUUAUUUUUUAUUUUUCAUUAGUUUCCCAAAGAAGAACCUCAAAAAAAAAUCUUUUUGGAUUUUUGCAAUUAAUACCUUAAAGAAAACAUUUUAAAGAGGUAGUAAAAGAAAAUUCUCUUAUUUUUAGUCUUAAUGUACUAAAAGGAAGUAUAAAAGUAAUUUUUUAUUUUGAGUUCUAGAUAUUAAUUUCCUAAGGAAAACCACAAAAGAGUUUUUUUCGAACUUCUAGAGUUAGUAUUCUAAAGAAAACAUCUAACAGAAAUAUAAAACGUAAUUUUUUUUGGAUUUUUGAUUUGUUACAUAUCUUUUUUUCAAUACAAAAUAGGAAAUACAAUAACAAAAGACUCGACAUUACUGUACAAAAUUAGAAGGUAAAAGACGACAUAAAAAUAAAAACAUAUUCAAAACAUAAAAAGAAAAAUCUACUUAAGCAACUCCUGAAUGAGCGAUCCUAACUGGAUGGUCCUAGGGCGUCUGUCAUGAUCAAACUCCGAUACAUCUGCAUGAGAAAAUUAAGACCAAAUAAAGUUAAAGACCUAGAAUGCUAUGUGAGACAAUAACCCUUCCUGUUGGACACAUUCAAGACAUGAUUGUGACUAUUUUUCUAAAAAUUAACCUAUGUAGCUAAAGGUGGCUAAAAAUGCAAGAUUUGACUAAGACCCCGCGAAGCCAAGAACCUAAACUCACUAGGAAGACCAGACCCUAUGUGGGUUGCCUACGUAUCACGCCUUGAAAGACGAGAAUCAGGUAUGCGUAGUUCGGGCAGAUUGGUUACGGACAUUAGAAAAAAUAACUAAUUUAGAGAAUAUAUAUUUUUUGUCUUUUUUUUUUUGAAAAAUGAUGAAACAUGUAAACUCUUUUUGGUCUUUUCUUGAAAAAGUGAGAAAGAAAAUUAUAAUUAGGCCCUAUUUUCUUUAUAUUCACACCUCACCCUCUUUUCUUUCUAAUUUACCCUCAACCAACAUUGGUCCGCCAAAUGACCCGUUUACCCUUGAAGAUUGCAACAUGUAGCACAUAGAAUGCAUCAGGUUGGUCUUUUAUUUUUAGGUACAUCUGUCCUAGACGGACCCAACCCCGGUGUUGAGUCCUCAAAGUCAAAUACACGUGAUGCAAGUAAAUGUUCCUACUAGGGAUCCGACAUGAGGUUAUGCUAUUCUAAGUUUAAACCUGAGGUUGUGUUCUUGACCUGGCUUACCCGAGCAGACAACUCGAGCCGAAGAGGGGGCAACGUACCGGGAGCACUAAAGUAUACCCGGCCUUGCUGUUGGCCCAGCCUUGUUCUAUUUGGUAUAACUUCUACAGAAAAAGUGGGCCACGCGAACGUGUGCACCAUUUUUAGAAGACUCAGAGGGGUGGUGUAAGAAGACAGUUAUAUACAAUUCAAAUAAUAUCAAAGCGUUAAAUAAGAGGUAAUUAACACAUUAGGCCCACAAAUACAGUAAUAUCAACAAACAAUAAAGCCAAGCAUAAAUGAUAUUAACAACCUCGAAUUCUUGAACCCUGAACCAGAAGUUGGGGGUUCUUGUCCCCAGCAGAGUCGCAGAGCUGUCACACCUCCUUUUUUACUACCCUAAAAGGGUAUAUAUGGGAGUUUUUCCAGUUUAUGUGACAAUCGAAACAGGAUUAUUAUUUAAAAUCAGAGUCGCCACUUGGGAUAAUUUAUGGUGUCCCAACUCAUCGGUUUAAAAUACCGAAUCGAGGAAGUUGACUCUUAUUUAUGGUCUGCGAACAAAGAAAUCCGGGUAAGCAAUUCUAUUAACCCGGGAGAAGAUGUUAGGCAUUCUCGAGUUCCGUGGUUCUAGCAAGGUCGUUUUGAUCAUACUUGGCUUAAUCAAAUUGUCUAAUUAUUCAUUUUAGAACCUAUGCGUAUUUGCCUUUUUUAAUUAAGCAACUAUCUUGAAACGGGUCACACGCACGUGUACCCAUUUGUUUGGCGCGUCAAAAAUCAUGUCAUGCGAACGUGUCCACGAUCAAUAACGCUUUGUUAUUAUUACGAUUGUUUUUGGCCAAAGUUGCGCGAACGCAUACCUCAAUUUAUUUUCAAAAGAAUCGUAAUCAUGUCACGCGAACGUGUACACAAUUGCAAUAGUUUGAUUAAACAACAACAAAAACUAUAGUUCGAUUAUGAGAACUAGAAAAUCAAGCUUAUCAACCUUAUUCCAAAUUAAUGAUACUACGACGUAUUUAAAAAUGAAAGAAGCUGCUUUUUUGAAAAAGUUCAUUCCAAUCUUCUUUUGUUAGUUUAUUUACUCAAAAUGGGUAAACUAAGAUUGGCAACGAUGCAAUAAACUUAUAUUUACAAUCUCAGGAUCAAAUGCAAUAUACUUACUUUUACAGUGAUCCACCAACAGGCAAUACAAAAUAAUCACUUUUAGAAACCAAAAAAAUAUAACUUGUAACUAUAAUAGGAAUAGAGAUGGACCUUAAAAGGAGUUUUACUUCUGAUCUUUACAGUAGGUGAGUCCAAGAACAAAUAAGCAACCAGUACAGGAUCACGAUGAAGCGUAAUCUCGUCGGACGACACUCUAACCUCGACGAAACUGAACAGAGCUAGCGACCUACAAAUGGGCUUUAACGAGACUCGAUCUCAACUGAAGCAUUACAUUAAAGGGAAUGACGAACUUGAAACUCAGUCGACAACCUCAAACGAACUCUCCACGAGCUUUAAACGAACUCCAUCGACGAAACAAAAUUCCGUCGUCGGUUUUUGGCCAUUUCUAGUGGUGAAGGAGCAGCAGCCGGUCUGAUGUGAGGUGAAGAAGAAGGAACAGUGACGAGGGGUGUGUUGGUGAAGGUUUUAUUGCUGGUGUGAGGUCAGAUCGUUCGACUGUUGCUUCUCCUUUAAUCUCUGUGUGUUUUUGUUAAUGAAGAUGGUGAAGAAGCAGAACGGAUGGGAGGGCAUGACUCUUGGCUGAAGAGAGAUUCCUUUGGUCUCUAGUGUUGAAACGGCUGAUAUGGAGAUGGAGUUUUGCUAGGGUUUUGUUUGUGAAGAAGGAGAUGAACUGAUAGGGGUGUCUCGUUUUGUAUAUUGCGGCGGAUCUCUUAGGCGUUAGGAAAUUAGCUCCUCAUUUUGUUUGUCCAAAAUGGA
This 12126-nucleotide long non-coding RNA is filed under the name Nicotiana tabacum (common tobacco). RNAcentral's name for it is "long non-coding RNA (NTAB_LNC004625)". Lineage: Eukaryota; Viridiplantae; Streptophyta; Magnoliopsida; Solanales; Solanaceae. The record is from RNAcentral.